GAAUCCACAAAGGAAAGUGGAGGACCUGGAGGUGCUUUUACCAUGCUUGGUCCUGGAGGGGCCAGGGAAUCCAGGGGUCACUGGGACCCAGACACGGGGCUGGUGAGAAGGGAACUGUGGCUUCCACAGUAUAAGAGACGCACAGGGAGGGAACACACAGUUCCCUGUGGUGGUUGUGCAGAAAACCCCGUCUCACGCUUCUCCUGGCCCGAAUCUGCUGCUGUCUCCCACUGGCCAAACUCAACAGGAAGCCAAGGUCAAGCUUCCUCCAGAGCAACACUGCAGAGGCUUUGCCAAAGCACUCACAUGAAGGACAUCAGGAAUGGACAGGGAUGGGUUUGA
Molecule: long non-coding RNA, 342 nt
Filed under: Vulpes vulpes (red fox)
Lineage: Eukaryota; Metazoa; Chordata; Mammalia; Carnivora; Canidae
Description: lncRNA (ENSVVUG00000015051.1)
Source: RNAcentral